RNAcentral lists this ribosomal RNA (253 nucleotides) under uncultured bacterium. RNAcentral describes it as "partial 16S ribosomal RNA". It matches the Rfam family "Bacterial small subunit ribosomal RNA", at positions 524 to 776 of the family's 1533-position model. The record is from RNAcentral.
UACGUAGGUGGCAAGCGUUGUCCGGAUUUACUGGGUGUAAAGGGCGUGUAGCCGGGCUGACAAGUCAGAUGUGAAAUCCGGGGGCUCAACCCCCGAACUGCAUUUGAAACUGUUGGUCUUGAGUAUCGGAGAGGCAGGCGGAAUUCCUAGUGUAGCGGUGAAAUGCGUAGAUAUUAGGAGGAACGCCAGUGGCGAAGGCGGCCUGCUGGACGACAACUGACGGUGAGGCGCGAAAGCGUGGGGAGCAAACAGG